GCGCACCAGGCGCGAAUCCUCCGCAAUGCGGGAAACCGCGACGGGGUCACCCCGAGUGCCGCCCUAACGGGUGGCUGUGGCCCGGUGUAAACAGCCGGGCUUAGAAAGGGAGGGCAAGGCUGGUGCCAGCCGCCGCGGUAAAACCAGCUCCUCGAGUAGGUCGGGGCUAUUAAUUGGGCCUAAAGCGUCCGUAGCCGGCCCCGUAAGUCCUCGGUUAAAAUCCCACGGCUUAACCGUGGGACUGCCGGGGAUACUGCGGGGCUUGGGGGCGGAGAGGCCGGGGGUACUCCCGGGGUAGGGGUGAAAUCCUGUAAUCCCGGGGGGACCACCAGUGGCGAAGGCGCCCGGCUGGAACGCGCCCGACGGUGAGGGACGAAAGCCAGGGGAGCGAACCGGAUUAGAUACCCC
RNAcentral lists this ribosomal RNA (408 nucleotides) under uncultured microorganism. RNAcentral's name for it is "bacterial SSU rRNA". It matches the Rfam family "Archaeal small subunit ribosomal RNA", at positions 330 to 739 of the family's 1478-position model. The record is from RNAcentral.